RNAcentral lists this transfer RNA (84 nucleotides) under Motiliproteus sp. MSK22-1. It matches the Rfam family "tRNA". Rfam says of the family: Transfer RNA (tRNA) molecules are approximately 80 nucleotides in length. Their secondary structure includes four short double-helical elements and three loops (D, anti-codon, and T loops). The record is from Rfam by way of RNAcentral. Lineage: Bacteria; Pseudomonadati; Pseudomonadota; Gammaproteobacteria; Oceanospirillales; Oceanospirillaceae.
GCCCGGGUGGCGAAAUUGGUAUACGCAACGGAUUUAAAAUCCGUCGAUCUAACGAUCAUGCCGGUUCAAGUCCGGCUCCGGGCA